Molecule: ribosomal RNA, 253 nt
Filed under: uncultured bacterium
Lineage: Bacteria
Description: partial 16S ribosomal RNA
Rfam family: Bacterial small subunit ribosomal RNA
Source: RNAcentral
UACGGGGGGGGCUAGCGUUGUUCGGAAUUACUGGGCGUAAAGGGCGCGUAGGCGGUCUGCUAAGUUGGAUGUGAAAACUCUGGGCUUAACCCAGAGCCUGCAUUCAAUACUGACAGGCUAGAGUUCUGGAGGGGAUAGCGGAAUUCCUGGUGCAGCGGUGAAAUGCGUAGAUAUCAGGAGGAACACCGGUGGCGAAGGCGGCUAUCUGGACAGAAACUGACGCUGAGGCGCGAAAGCUAGGGGAGCAAACAGG